Molecule: ribosomal RNA, 880 nt
Filed under: uncultured archaeon
Lineage: Archaea
Description: bacterial SSU rRNA
Rfam family: Archaeal small subunit ribosomal RNA
Source: RNAcentral
UUGAUCCUGCCGGACCCGACUGCUAUCAGAGUGGGACUAAGCCAUGCGAGUUGACGUAGUAAUACGUAGCGAACGGCUCAGUAACACGUAGUCAACAUGCCCAGGGGACGUGGAUAACCUCGGGAAACUGAGAAUAAACCGCGAUAGGUCACAAUUUCUGGAAUGGAUUUUGGCUUAAAUCUACAUGGGCCCUGGAUUGGACUGCGGCCGAUCAGGCUGUUGGUGAGGUAAUGGCCCACCAAACCUGUAACCGGUACGGGCUCUGAGAGGAGGAGCCCGGAGAUGGGCACUGAGACAAGGGCCCAGGCCCUAUGGGGCGCAGCAGGCGCGAAACCUCUGCAAUGGGCGAAAGCCUGACAGGGUUACUCUGAGUGAUUUCCGCUAAGGGGAUCUUUUGACACCUCUAAAAAUGGUGUAGAAUAAGGGGUGGGCAAGUCUGGUGUCAGCCGCCGCGGUAAUACCGGCACCCCGAGUGGUCGGGACGAUUAUUGGGCCUAAAGCAUCCGUAGCCGGUUCUGCAAGUCUUCCGUUAAAUCCAGCCGCUCAACGGAUGGGCUGCGGAAGAUACUAUAGGACUAGGAGGCGGGAGAGGCAAGCGGUACUCAGUGGGUAGGGGUAAAAUCCUUUGAUCCAUUGAAGACCACCAGUGGCGAAGGCGGCUUGCCAGAACGCGCUCGACGGUGAGGGAUGAAAGCUGGGGGAGCAAACCGGAUUAGAUACCCGGGUAGUCCCAGCUGUAAACGAUGCAGACUCGGUGAUGGGCCAGCCUUGUGCUAGCCCAGUGCCGCAGGGAAGCCGUUAAGUCUGCCGCCUGGGGAGUACGGUCGCAAGACUGAAACUUAAAGGAAUUGGCGGGGGAGCACCACAAGGGGUGAAGCCU